RNAcentral lists this ribosomal RNA (451 nucleotides) under uncultured bacterium. Its description in RNAcentral is "bacterial SSU rRNA". It matches the Rfam family "Bacterial small subunit ribosomal RNA", at positions 340 to 784 of the family's 1533-position model. The record is from RNAcentral.
UACGGGAGGCAGCAGUGGGGAAUAUUGCACAAUGGGCGCAAGCCUGAUGCAGCCAUGCCGCGUGUAUGAAAAGGCCUUCGGGUUGUAAAGUACUUUCAGUCGUGAGGAAGGUGUUAAGGUUAAUAACCUUAGCAAUUGACGUUAGCGACAGAAGAAGCACCGGCUAACUCCGUGCCAGCAGCCGCGGUAAUACGGAGGGUGCGAGCGUUAAUCGGAAUUACUGGGCGUAAAGGGCACGCAGGCGGUUAAUUAAGUUGGAUGUGAAAUCCCCGGGCUUAACCUGGGAAUGGCAUUCAAGACUGGUUAGCUAGAGUCUUGUAGAGGGGGUAGAAUUCCAUGUGUAGCGGUGAAAUGCGUAGAGAUGUGGAGGAAUACCGGGUGGCGAAGGCGGCCCCUGGACAAAGACUGACGCUCAUGUGCGAAAGCGUGGGGAGCAAACAGGGAUUAGAUA